RNAcentral lists this non-coding RNA (104 nucleotides) under chicken gut metagenome. Its description in RNAcentral is "Moco (molybdenum cofactor) riboswitch". It matches the Rfam family "Molybdenum/Tungsten riboswitch aptamer (Moco RNA motif)", at positions 10 to 125 of the family's 135-position model. The record is from RNAcentral.
CAUAUUCCGAACAGAGUUCCCUAAAGCGAUUGGGCCAUGGGGCUUCUGUCGAUGGGUCGCGAGGGAAACCUUUCGGCCUCCCGUUUUGGAAAGGAAUGAUAUGA